This 497-nucleotide ribosomal RNA is filed under the name uncultured bacterium. Its description in RNAcentral is "partial 16S ribosomal RNA". It matches the Rfam family "Bacterial small subunit ribosomal RNA", at positions 28 to 507 of the family's 1533-position model. The record is from RNAcentral.
GAUGAACGCUGGCGGCGUGCCUAAUACAUGCAAGUCGAGCGAACAGACGAGGAGCUUGCUCCUCUGACGUUAGCGGCGGACGGGUGAGUAACACGUGGAUAACCUACCUAUAAGACUGGGAUAACUUCGGGAAACCGGAGCUAAUACCGGAUAAUAUAUUGAACCGCAUGGUUCAAUAGUGAAAGACGGUUUUGCUGUCACUUAUAGAUGGAUCCGCGCCGCAUUAGCUAGUUGGUAAGGUAACGGCUUACCAAGGCGACGAUGCGUAGCCGACCUGAGAGGGUGAUCGGGCACCAUGGAACCGGGAAACGGUCCCGGCUCCCAAGGGGGGGAAGAGGAGGGGAUUUUUCCGCAAUGGGCGAAGCCCGACGGAGCCAACCCGCGUUAGGGGAUAAGGGUUUCGGAUCCGUAAACUUCUGUAAUAGGGAAAAAAAAAAGUUGAAGGAAACAAGGAAGGCCUGACCGGAACUAAUCAGAAAGCCACGGCUAACUACGUG